UACGAACCGUACAAACGUUAUUCGGAAUCACUGGGCUUAAAGGGCGCGUAGGCGGCCAUGUAAGUGAGGUGUGAAAUCCCUCGGCUCAACCGAGGAACUGCGCUUCAUACUGCAUGGCUUGAGGGAGACAGGGGUAAGCGGAACUGAUGGUGGAGCGGUGAAAUGCGUUGAUAUCAUCAGGAACACCGGUGGCGAAAGCGACUUACUGGGUCUCUUCUGACGCUGAGGUACGAAAGCUAGGGUAGCGAACGGG
Molecule: ribosomal RNA, 253 nt
Filed under: uncultured bacterium
Lineage: Bacteria
Description: partial 16S ribosomal RNA
Rfam family: Bacterial small subunit ribosomal RNA
Source: RNAcentral